Molecule: ribosomal RNA, 497 nt
Filed under: uncultured bacterium
Lineage: Bacteria
Description: partial 16S ribosomal RNA
Rfam family: Bacterial small subunit ribosomal RNA
Source: RNAcentral
GAUGAACGCUGGCGGCGUGCCUAAUACAUGCAAGUCGAGCGAACAGACGAGGAGCUUGCUCCUCUGACGUUAGCGGCGGACGGGUGAGUAACACGUGGAUAACCUACCUAUAAGACUGGGAUAACUUCGGGAAACCGGAGCUAAUACCGGAUAAUAUAUUGAACCGCAUGGUUCAAUAGUGAAAGACGGUUUUGCUGUCACUUAUAGAUGGAUCCGCGCCGCAUUAGCUAGUUGGUAAGGUAACGGCUUACCAAGGCAACGAUGCGUAGCCGACCUGAGAGGGUGAUCGGCCACACUGGAACUGAGACACGGUCCAGACGCCUACGGGAGGCAGCAGUAGGGAAUCUUCCGCAAUGGGCGAAAGCUUGACGGAGCAACGCCGCGUGAGUGAUGAAGGUCUUCGGAUCGUAAAACUCUGUUAUUAGGGAAGAACAAAUGUGUAAGUAACUAUGCACGUCUUGACGGUACCUAAUCAGAAAGCCACGGCUAACUACGUG